UUUUAUUAGCGUUAUACAAGUUUUUCGAGCACAAAGAGGAAGUCAAGUACCAAAGAGUAAAGCCAACAACAUCACAUGGAUCCAAGUGGAGGUAUAUUAAUUAAUUAUCACAAUUUUGAUUAUAUAAAUAGUGAUGAUACGUGAUACAACUUAAGCCUUAUCCAUAUUUUCUUUCCAUGUGUAGUGUCCUGGGCAGCGUAAUGAAGUAGAUUGCGGUUUUUACAUGUUGUAGUUUAUGAAAGAAAUUCUUCUUUCGAAUCAAAUAGAGAUUUCGUCCAAGUACUUUGAUGACUUCAAGUGUGCUACUUACUCAAGAUCUAAGUUGGAUGAACUUAAGGAGGAAUGGUGUCAAUUCAUGAUUGAGUUGAAAGUUGUAUAGGAUAUUGAAUGGUAAAAAGGUUACAGUUGCUGGCAAGAAGAAAAAGUAGAUAUUUAGCAUCCUUUUGAUUUGUGUAAAAAAUAACAAUGUUUUGGAUGAUGCAAUUGUUUUCAUUGAAUUGGAUGUAAUUUUGUUGUUGUUUAUUAA
This is a long non-coding RNA of Vicia villosa (hairy vetch), 526 nucleotides long. RefSeq lists it as uncharacterized. The record is from RefSeq and is a predicted model, not a curated record. The transcript has 3 exons. NCBI's taxonomy places the organism in Eukaryota, Viridiplantae, Streptophyta, Magnoliopsida, Fabales, Fabaceae.